Molecule: ribosomal RNA, 321 nt
Filed under: Onchidella celtica (Celtic sea slug)
Lineage: Eukaryota; Metazoa; Mollusca; Gastropoda; Systellommatophora; Onchidiidae
Description: partial 12S ribosomal RNA
Source: RNAcentral
CAAAGCAGUAAAAUCUUCUGAUUAAAACUUAAAGAGCAUGGCGGCCACGAAAACUAUCAGGGGAACUUACCGAGUAAUAGACAACCCUCUAGGGUCUUUUCCUCUUAACUUAAAGCUUGUAUACCGCCGUCUUCAGGCCUAUCUUUAGGAGGGGCCUAACUUAACAUAAGACAGGCCAUGGUGCAGCCUAUGUAAGAGAUCAGGCGAGUUACAUUAACAGUUUGACCUGCGGAUUUUCGGGAGAAUCACUGAGAAAAAGCUGGACUUGAAAGUAAUCCUUAUACCAGUACGAUUAAAUUUUGAAUGUUUAUUUUGUGGUGU